UCACUGUAACGCCCUGAGUGUUGCGGAUGUUUCGCAGAAGUUGACCGAACUUGAUUAUUUAGAGGAAGUAAAAGUCGUAACAAGGUUUCCGUAGGUGAACCUGCGGAAGGAUCAUUAAAGUUCUCCUUACAGUUAUAAACAAAAACACAAUAUAUAAAAUACUUAUAUUGUAAAAUUAUGGCAAAAGCCAAAAAGAAACAAAAUAACAAUAAUAAAAUGUUUAUUAUUGUAUAUCGCCUCCUAGGCAAAAAGUAUAUAUACAAUACUUCUUAUAUUGUAAAAUUAUGGCAAAAAGAAACAAAAUAACAAUAAUAAAAUGUUUAUUAUUGUAUCGCCUCCUAGGCAAAAAAGUAUAUAUAAAAUACUUAUAUUGUAAAAUUAUGGCAAAUGGCAAAAAGAAACAAAAUAAAUUUGAAAUACAUAAAAUUAUAGUUGUACUUGUAUAAAAUUGAAAAGUAAUUUUAUAUAAGUCAAUCAUUGUUCUUUUUUUAAGAACUUGAGACAUUCGCAACAAAAAUUUUAUGUUUUAAUUAUAAAAGAGAAUAAUAAUAAGCAAAAAUUAUUGAAGGAAUUGAUAUAUGCCAAUUUGAAAAUUUUUGGUGUAUUUUUGAUUUCUUUCAAUAAAUAUAUAUAUGAAAUGCUAUUGAAAAUAAAAAUUAUAUCACUCUAAGCGGUGGAUCACUUGGCUCAUGGGUCGAUGAAGAACGCAGCAAAC
Molecule: ribosomal RNA, 715 nt
Filed under: Belvosia sp. Woodley04C
Lineage: Eukaryota; Metazoa; Arthropoda; Insecta; Diptera; Tachinidae
Description: partial ribosomal RNA
Rfam family: Eukaryotic small subunit ribosomal RNA (bases 1-117)
Source: RNAcentral